RNAcentral lists this long non-coding RNA (205 nucleotides) under Elaeis guineensis (African oil palm). RNAcentral describes it as "long non-coding RNA (EGUI_LNC062025)". Lineage: Eukaryota; Viridiplantae; Streptophyta; Magnoliopsida; Arecales; Arecaceae. The record is from RNAcentral.
CAGGCUAACGAUUGAUUUUUGAGAUACAUUUUCCAACAACUCCCACUUGUCCUAAAGCCACUCGACACAGUAUCUAAUACCCAUCUUCGACUUGUGGUUGUCAAACUCCUUUAUCAUCGGGGCUUUAGUGAAGGGGUCGGUCAGGUUCUCCUUUAUUACCAGGACUUUAGUGAAGGGGUUGGCUAGGUUCUCCUUUCUGUCGAUC